RNAcentral lists this ribosomal RNA (579 nucleotides) under Stenocarpella maydis. RNAcentral's name for it is "eukaryotic LSU rRNA". It matches the Rfam family "Eukaryotic large subunit ribosomal RNA", at positions 1 to 591 of the family's 3401-position model. Lineage: Eukaryota; Fungi; Ascomycota; Sordariomycetes; Diaporthales; Diaporthaceae. The record is from RNAcentral.
UUGACCUCGGAUCAGGUAGGAAUACCCGCUGAACUUAAGCAUAUCAAUAAGCGGAGGAAAAGAAACCAACAGGGAUUGCCCUAGUAACGGCGAGUGAAGCGGCAACAGCUCAAAUUUGAAAUCUGGCCUCGGCCCGAGUUGUAAUUUGCAGAGGAUGCUUCUGGCGCGGUGCCUUCCGAGUUCCCUGGAACGGGACGCCACAGAGGGUGAGAGCCCCGUAUGGUCGGACACCAAGCCUGUGUGAAGCUCCUUCGACGAGUCGAGUAGUUUGGGAAUGCUGCUCUAAAUGGGAGGUAAAUCUCUUCUAAAGCUAAAUACCGGCCAGAGACCGAUAGCGCACAAGUAGAGUGAUCGAAAGAUGAAAAGCACCUUGAAAAGGGGGUUAAAUAGUACGUGAAAUUGUUGAAAGGGAAGCACUUGUGACCAGACUUGGGCCGGGCGGCUCAUCAGGGGUUCUCCCCUGUGCACUCCGCCCGGCACAGGCCAGCAUCGGUUUUCGCGGGGGGACAAGACCGCCGGGAACGUAGCACCCUCCGGGGUGUGUUAUAGCCCGGCGGACGAUACCCCCGCGGGGACCGA